AAAAAGCUCUCGCUGUGGAUAUCUUGAGGCUGAAUACCCUAAACAGGUAACAAAACCGCUUUUUAAACCCCGUCCCUUUUACACGGUAGUACCCCCACCACUCCGCGCCCCCUCCCCCUGGAGGAAGGGUAGGUCAGGUGUAUGAAAUGUCUCAAACAACUGUGACUCUCUGGCCAUUUUUUUGCUUGCAUUUUUGAAGACUCUACCCAGUGAUGCAGAUUAAAAUGAUCUUGUUUCACCAAAUGGGCAAAAUUUGUAACUAUUUCAAACAGGCUAACCCGAAACUACACCCUUUGACGGUUGUUGGAUAUGCUCGGAGCAAUAAUCGGUAGAUUGGCUCCACAGGGUACCCCCCUCCUUCCCCACUGCCGCCACCAUUGGAAAAAUAGGGGAAGAAAUUUAUUUAUGACAUCUACACCUAGAAACUGACGGUACUAAGAGAAAUAAAAUCACGCGGCGUAACGCGGAAUGGUAACGUGAUCCCGCGUAAGUUCCCGCGUAAAACCGUCUUUUCGUGACGUCACUUGUUUUCCUGUGACGCGGAAGACACUGGUAACGAAAGAGAACCCAAACAUGGCGAUGGGAUGUUUCUGAGAUUGUAAACUUAUUUUGGAUGAUGAAUGCAACGACGAAUACGACAUCUAUGGUAUCAGUUUUCUUUUGAAGCAUGUUUUUGCUCGUUUGGUUGGAUUUGAGUGCAAGGAAAAUUGUUGUGACGGCUUCAGAACACUGGAAUGAAGACCACGUUUAACAACCCCUCACGCACAGAAACAUUGCACAAAUUAUUCCAUAAAACUGGUACUAAAGGCCACUUGAGGAGAAGCUGGAUCUAUGUGGAAGAACAAGUCAUAACAUAAGAAGAUAACGAAAGAAGGAACGAUUAGGAUGCUUAAGACUGAAAUGGUGAAGAGGCAGACCAAAAAAGAAAAACAGGGGACUGAUGUAUAUUAUGGCAACAGUUGCAACUGGAAGAAACCAAAUCAGUUACCUUGGCUGACCAGUCAACAAUGGAUGGACAGACUGACAUAUCUGGACAGACAGUGGACAAAGCUGGAUGGACAGUGGGCAAACUCAAAAUAUUCAAACCUUGACCAACCAGUCAACAAUGGAUGGACAGUGGAGAAGUCUGGACCGACAGUGGACAAAGCUGGAAGGACAGUGGGCAAACCCAAAACAUUCAAACCUUGACCAACCAGGAUGCUAGACAGCAGAGAUCAUUCCAAGACAGCAUGGACUUGGAGAGAGUGGAAAAUGGGCAACAGGCCAGACACAAAGGAAGAUGCUUAAAGAUUGGCUACCAAGACAAGGCUACAAGAUGGUUUAUUAAGUAGUUUGUCUUAAGUUAGUUGCAUUUUUUUGGCCCAGCCCGGGAGGCCUUUGAACAUGGGGUACAGCUGGCCCGGGGUUUUCCUCCUAGGAGCAAGUGGACGUACGGGGAGGUUUUUCACCCAGCUGUUGUUCCACAACCCCCGUUCAGAUUAGUUGGUUAUUUCGUUAGUUUGAUAGUCUUCAACUAGAUUUUCAUUAUAGACUCUUGGCAAACUGCUUGCAUUGGUUUGGAUCGAGUCAACCUGGUUAACUCUGACUUCACUAACUCACAAGAACAAACAACUUGCAACUGAUACCUAUGACUACUUUUCUUUCACCCAACAAGUGACUUUUUCUUGUCCUCAACAAACUUUAACUUCAAACAGAACCAACACAAACUUGACUAACAACAGAUGGAGUGAAACUACACAACAUCUGACACUGACUUUUAACUUUACGCCCUACAGGUGACUUAUUUACAACCUCAACAAACCAACCAUUAAACUGUAACUUCAAACAGAACCAACACAAACUUGACUUAAACUAUACUGUAGAUGGAGUGAAACUAUACACCAUCUGACAGUGGCAAGUACUUAUACAUGUACUUUACAGAUGACUUUUUUUACGACCUCAACAAAGCAACCAACAAACUUUUUAGCUUUCGACAGAACAAAUGCAAACUUGACUAACAACAGAUGGAGUGAAACUACACGACAUCUGACACUGACAACUACUUACACCUUACGUUUGACUUACAUGUAUUUGUGACUUCAACAAACCAACCAACCAACUUUAACUUCAAACAGAACCAGUUGACACAAAAUUGACUAACAAUUCAUAUAGAUAGACACUGACAUCCUGAAGCCAACAAUUACUAAUUAAUACACCUUGAAGAUGACUUACUCACAAAAAAAUGAUGACACGUUCACAACCUCAAUGAACCAACCAACAAGAACAAAUACAUUUACUUGAUGAACAUUAUAGAUGGAUUGAGACCGACAACUACGUACAUGUGACAACUGACUUAAUUAUCAGGACCUCAACAAACCUAAAAACUACACCUGCAUGACUCUAGCACUUCAUUGUAAAAUGAAGAGACUGUCAUUGAUACUGCAGGCUACUACUGACUUCCGCCCUAUACCAUGAUCACCAAAACUUUACAAACUACAGAAACUGCACAAGCUGCAUACCAAUGCAAGGAUUAGCUUUGAGUCAGAUAAUGUUAUUAUUAUAUGUAGAUGUGUGUGCCACCAUUGUUCAAACAAGUGCCUUUUUU
This 2584-nucleotide long non-coding RNA is filed under the name Orbicella faveolata. Its description in RNAcentral is "uncharacterized LOC110068581". The record is from RNAcentral. Lineage: Eukaryota; Metazoa; Cnidaria; Anthozoa; Scleractinia; Merulinidae.